CCUACGGGGUGCAGCAGUGGGGAAUAUUGGACAAUGGGCGAAAGCCUGAUCCAGCCAUGCCGCGUGUGUGAAGAAGGCCUUCGGGUUGUAAAGCACUUUCAGUGGGGAAGAAAGCCUUGGGGCUAAUACCCUCGAGGAAGGACAUCACCCACAGAAGAAGCACCGGCUAACUCCGUGCCAGCAGCCGCGGUAAUACGGAGGGUGCGAGCGUUAAUCGGAAUUACUGGGCGUAAAGCGCGCGUAGGCGGUCUGAUAAGCCGGUUGUGAAAGCCCCGGGCUCAACCUGGGAACGGCAUCCGGAACUGUCAGGCUAGAGUGCAGGAGAGGAAGGUAGAAUUCCCGGUGUAGCGGUGAAAUGCGUAGAGAUCGGGAGGAAUACCAGUGGCGAAGGCGGCCUUCUGGACUGACACUGACGCUGAGGUGCGAAAGCGUGGGUAGCAAACAGGAUUAGAUCCCCUUGUAGUC
Molecule: ribosomal RNA, 465 nt
Filed under: Vreelandella stevensii
Lineage: Bacteria; Pseudomonadati; Pseudomonadota; Gammaproteobacteria; Oceanospirillales; Halomonadaceae
Description: partial 16S ribosomal RNA
Rfam family: Bacterial small subunit ribosomal RNA
Source: RNAcentral